Molecule: long non-coding RNA, 375 nt
Filed under: Nicotiana benthamiana
Lineage: Eukaryota; Viridiplantae; Streptophyta; Magnoliopsida; Solanales; Solanaceae
Description: long non-coding RNA (NBEN_LNC011173)
Source: RNAcentral
UAAACUUAUUAAUUCCAUGUAUUACUCUUGCACACUUGUAUUCCCUUGCUUGAGCUGUUCAAACUCUGUAUCCUUAGCUUCUCUAUCCUCUUCUGGGAUAAAGUUAGCGAUGAAGGCCUCUUUAAAUUCUUCCCAAGUAGGCGGACCAUCAUCUUCAUCCCUUUCCUUUUCCCAUAUCUCAAUCCAAGCGCCAGCCACAUCUCUAAGCUGGUAAGUAGUCAGCUCCACAUCUCCAUCAUCAAAUGCUUUUAACACUCGGAGGGCUUUCUUGACACCCUCGAGCCACAACAUCGGAUUUUCAUCAACUAUAGAACCGUGGAACACUGGAGGAAUCAACUUUGUAAAUUCAUUUACCCUUGAGGACUCAAAAUUGUC